GGAGAGGUGUCCGAGUGGCUUAAGGAGCACGCUUGGAAAGCGUGUGUAGAGGAAACUCUACCGUGGGUUCGAAUCCCACCCUCUCCGCCA
Molecule: transfer RNA, 90 nt
Filed under: Acidobacteria bacterium RIFCSPLOWO2_12_FULL_59_11
Lineage: Bacteria; Pseudomonadati; Acidobacteriota
Description: tRNA-Ser
Rfam family: tRNA
About the family: Transfer RNA (tRNA) molecules are approximately 80 nucleotides in length.
Source: RNAcentral